AAGCUACUGCUUUAAAACCAACGGUAGGAUUCACGUCAACGUCGUCAAGGGAAUCUGAAACGUCUGGUUUGGUUACAGUCAGUCUUCAAAGAAGUGUUGAGACAAGCAUAGAGACAAAAGUGACGAUCGAUUUAGGCGGAACUGCAAAAAUAAAUAGUGAUUACGUGGUAGCAGGAUCAUUGGUGGUAACUUUUCCGGCUAAUGAUUCAUCAAAUCAAAAUAUCAAUCUUUUCAUACUCAAUGAUGAACUUGUCGAAGAGAAAGGUCUUGAAACUAUUAUCCUUACGAUCCGAAACGACGCUGCAUUUGAUGCUAAGGUCAACUUCUCGUCUCACACAGUCCAAAUAGCCGAUGAUGACGUCAGUAUUAAUUGUCAAAACACCCAGGUCAGUGAGUCUGCGCCAACAGCUACAGUCAGAGUAACCAUUUCCGGGUCAUCACAAGCCUUAAGUGUUACCCA
Long non-coding RNA from Actinia tenebrosa (Australian red waratah sea anemone), 460 nucleotides. RefSeq lists it as uncharacterized. The record is from RefSeq and is a predicted model, not a curated record. NCBI's taxonomy places the organism in Eukaryota, Metazoa, Cnidaria, Anthozoa, Actiniaria, Actiniidae.